UCCCCGUUACCGGGGCAGUCUGAUUAGAAAAAUCCAACUAAUCAUAAGGGUUGCGCUCGUUGAAGGACUUAACCUAACAUCUCACGACACGAGCUGACGACGGCCAUGCAGCACCUGUCACUUGGCUCCCUAAGGCACUCUCGGCUUUCGCCAAAAUUCCAAGGAUGUCAAACCCUGGUAAGGUUCUUCGCUUACCAUCGAAUUAAAGAACAUGAUCCACCGCUUGUGCGGGUCCCCGUCAAUUCCUUUGAGUUUUAAUCUUGCGACCGUACUCCCCAGGCGGGAUGCUUAACGCGUUAGCUUCGCUACUGAACGGGUCGAUACGUCCAACAGCUAGCAUCCAUAGUUUACGGCGUGGACUAC
RNAcentral lists this unclassified non-coding RNA (363 nucleotides) under uncultured bacterium. RNAcentral describes it as "contains 16S-23S intergenic spacer region". The record is from RNAcentral.